UGGGGAAUAUUGCACAAUGGGCGCAAGCCUGAUGCAGCGACGCCGCGUGAGGGAUGGAGGCCUUCGGGUUGUGAACCUCUUUCGCCAGUGAAGCAGGCCUGUCCCUUGUGGGUGGGUUGACGGUAGCUGGAUAAGAAGCGCCGGCUAACUACGUGCCAGCAGCCGCGGUAAUACGUAGGGCGCGAGCGUUGUCCGGAAUUAUUGGGCGUAAAGAGCUCGUAGGCGGCUGGUCGCGUCUGUCGUGAAAUCCUCUGGCUUAACUGGGGGCUUGCGGUGGGUACGGGCCGGCUUGAGUGCGGUAGGGGAGACUGGAACUCCUGGUGUAGCGGUGGAAUGCGCAGAUAUCAGGAAGAACACCGGUGGCGAAGGCGGGUCUCUGGGCCGUUACUGACGCUGAGGAGCGAAAGCGUGGGGAGCGAACAGGAUUAGAUACCCUGGUAGUCCACGCCGUANACGUUGGGCACUAGGUGUGGGGGGCCUUUUCCGGGUUUUCCGCGCCGUANCUNACGCAUUAAGUGNCCCGCCUGGGGAGUACGGCCGCAAGGCU
This 547-nucleotide ribosomal RNA is filed under the name uncultured bacterium. Its description in RNAcentral is "bacterial SSU rRNA". It matches the Rfam family "Bacterial small subunit ribosomal RNA", at positions 355 to 895 of the family's 1533-position model. The record is from RNAcentral.